GUGGGAGUGGCGGAAUUCGGAAGACGCACUAGACUUAGAAUCUAGCACUUAUUUAAAGUAUACGAGUUCAAAUCUCGUCUCCCACA
Molecule: transfer RNA, 86 nt
Filed under: Candidatus Riesia pthiripubis
Lineage: Bacteria; Pseudomonadati; Pseudomonadota; Gammaproteobacteria; Enterobacterales; Enterobacteriaceae
Description: tRNA-Leu
Rfam family: tRNA
About the family: Transfer RNA (tRNA) molecules are approximately 80 nucleotides in length.
Source: RNAcentral